This 541-nucleotide long non-coding RNA is filed under the name Macaca nemestrina (pig-tailed macaque). Its description in RNAcentral is "lncRNA (ENSMNEG00000046015.1)". Lineage: Eukaryota; Metazoa; Chordata; Mammalia; Primates; Cercopithecidae. The record is from RNAcentral.
UUGUAAUAAUGUAUUGACAAAGUUUAUGGCCUGAGUACAGGCAGUUCCUGUCCCAGUAUUCAGACCAGAGAGUUAAUUUUGGUACAGAUGCUAUAAGGACAGGCUUUGGAGGUAGAAGGGCAAGCCAUGAUCUUGGUGCUGCCCCCAUGCAGAGCACGUAAUCUCUCCCUGAGCCAUGGCAGCUGCUGCCACUGUUGAUGUUUCUGCCCAUUGCUCAGGAUUCCAGAAGACCCAAGCCUGCACACAACCUGUUCACACCUAUCAUGUCUGCUCUGCUCAUGCUUCAUUGUCUCAUUGGACUUCACGGACCAAGCACAAGUUCAAAGACUAUCAGAUACACCAUCUUUUCUUCUGAGUAAUAGCAGGCACUCUCAGGCUGUCAGAUGAUAUGCCAGGUAUGCACUUGCAAUGUCGACAAGGCCACCCCAGGGUUACAUGUUGGUGUCUUUAGGGAGAAGAAGAGUGAAUCACCAUCCAGCCGUCUGUUUUCUCCUGUUAACCCUAAACCCCAUGUUACAUCUUUUCACAUUUUUAAAAUGAU